GUGUAUCAACACGACGUUGGAGAGGUUUGGUCUCUGACGUCAUCACCCAAGGAUCCAAACGUGUUAGCAACUUGCUACAACACGUUGAGACCAGAAGAUAAUGACUGUGUUAUGAAAAGUGCAUUAUGGAGAAUGCCUGAGACUAGUCCCAGCGAUGCCUCCACCCCACUCGAACAGCUCUGUCUAUUCGAUACUGCACAAUACGGAACUCAAGUUAAGGUGACAGCUUUUCACCCGACAGAGACAGAGCAAGCGGCCACGGUUGUUGACAACCACGUUCUCAUCUGGGAUGUUGGAGAAGCAGCUCCUCGAUUGACCUAUAAAGUGGCAUUUGAAGGAAAAGGUCAUCCAAGGUUCACCACUGGUAAAUGGAAUCAUCAGCAAGUGAGUUCACAAUUCGCCACAGCCAAUGACUCGACGAUUCGAGGAUGGGACUUGAGAACCAGCAAGCAGGCAUGGACCAUAGACAAUGCUCACUCCCAGCUCGUUAGGGACGUGGACUUCAACCCGAACCGGCUGUUCUACGUGGCGUCGUGUGGAGACGACGCCAGCUGCAAGUUCUGGGACCUGCGCCAGCCGGCCACUCCCGUACUCACACUGGCCAAGCACUCGCACUGGGUUUGGGUCGUGCGCUACAACCAGGUACGCGACCAGCUGGUGCUCUCCGCUUCGAGCGACGGCGUCCUACUUCUGUCGAGUGUGGCGUCGAUCGCCUCGGCGCCCCUCGAGGACGAGGUCGAUGAGGAUGACGACGCCGACAAGCCUAGCACCCGAGCGACCCGAGACGGCGUCCUCGCGAGGCACGACCAACACGAGGACUCGGUCUACUGCGUCGAGUGGUCGGCCGCCAACCCCUGGUGUUUUGCCUCGCUCAGCUAUGACGGCCGGCUCCUAGUCAACAAGGUGGCUAGGUCUAUCAUGAUUAUGUAUCUAUAGUGUUCUUGUCAUUUCCUCAUAAAAUGCAAAUUCCUAUGGCUUUUAUUGGUGGAGAGCCCCUUGUGGGAAGAUUCCACCUCGCCUGAAUAUAUCAUUUAAGCAAUCAAUGUGUGUCUUACGACUGUCAUACUUCAACCGGGACCGACAACUUGACGUGUCCAUCCGAUAACACUGGAGUGAUCUAACAACUUUUUUUCAUAUUUGGGUUUGAAAAUGGAUAAAAUUGUAUAUUAAUCAUUAAAGAAAAAUUCCAAGUUGAAUGCUGUAAACCAUCCAGAGACAGGGUGAACAGCUAGAAGGAAAUUCGGCGUGAGCUAUUAUCCAUUAUCCAAGAAUUAGCCCUAGUCAAUAUUUGCAAUAGCAGAAGUCUUCGUGGUUGUUUACAGCAUUCAACUUUGGAUUUUUGUUUAAUAUUGAUUAAUGAGUAUUAAUCUUAUUGUUAUAUAUGUAAUCUUGAAUAAAAACAAUGUAAUUCGUUAUGUUCGAUUCAUAUUCGUUAGCAUUUGAGCUAAUGCAAUUUUCAUUUAUUCCAAUCAAUAAUAUAUCAAGUUAUAUUCAAUGUAAAACCAAUGUAAUUCGUUAUAUUCGGUUCAUAUUCGUUAGCAUUUGAGCUAAUGCAAUUUCUCAUUAAUUUCAAUCAAUAAUAUAUCAACUUGUAUUUACAUAAUUUCAAGUAUUCAAAAUUAAUAUUAUUUAGCUUACUUGCGCCGAAACUUAUUCAUCUUAUUAUCUUGUUAGAUAUGUUAUCUAUCUCAUGCUGAGAAUGUACUGUAUUUAUUAUGAUUGUAUUCUAUUAUUUAGUAAUACAUCUUAUUCAUAUCAAACUGAGAUGAUGCAGUAUCUUCCACCAAUGUUUCCAUUUUUUAAGGAAGUGAUAACCUAUGUAUUUAUAGUUUUUUUUUUGUAUAAUAUCUUCUCAAGCUUGAGUAUCUCUGUUAAAUAUCUAUCUCAAGCUUAGAUAAUUUAUAGUUUGUGUAAAAUAAGUUGAGACUUGGCCCUCCAUCCGAAGAAAUUUCAGGGUUGCCAAAUCGUGUAAAUUUUACAUUCUAUAGUUUGUGUAAAAUAAGAUGAGACUUGGCCCUCCAUCCAAAGGAUUACAGGGUUGCCAAAUCGUGUAAAAUUUACUUCGGAUUUUUCUUCGGAUCGAGGGCUAAGUCUCAACUUAUUUUACACAAACUAUAAUGACCCAAUUUUGUAUUGUCAAAGAAAAGGAUACGUAAUGUAUUUAUGUAUUAAUAAAUUUGUUGUUAUGAGUUUCUAUUGUUUAAAUACGAAUUAGAGUGUAUAAUGUAUCUACUGUAUUUAUAAUUCCAUUAGAUGGUAUUAAAAAUUAUGAUUUAUUUCCA
RNAcentral lists this unclassified non-coding RNA (2282 nucleotides) under Nilaparvata lugens (brown planthopper). RNAcentral describes it as "eARP-interacting protein homolog, transcript variant X1". The record is from RNAcentral. Lineage: Eukaryota; Metazoa; Arthropoda; Insecta; Hemiptera; Delphacidae.